UGGAAAACUGUGUCUCUUUUGUCAAAA
This 27-nucleotide non-coding RNA is filed under the name Mus musculus (house mouse). The record is from RNAcentral. Lineage: Eukaryota; Metazoa; Chordata; Mammalia; Rodentia; Muridae.